CCCCAUCCAGGCACAUUACUUUUCCUGUUGCAUUUAGGAUUUUUCCUUAUGUGUUGACAUUCUACUGAGCUCUGAUGCUUGUUUGCAUUAAAUUAUUUCGCUUCUGUGCCCUGAUUCUUAUCUCACAUUGCCUUUGGGUUGUGCAAGCCUGUAAUCCCCUUGCUGAUUCACAGUCAUGAUUGCAAGCCUGGAGUCAAACUUGUGUCUCUGAGUCUCUGARGGGUGCCCCUUGCUGCUUCCACAAGCGCUUUCAAGGAAAUCUUUCUCUUUUUAGCCAUCAUUAAGUCGUCUGGUUGAGCAAAUGGCCCCUGAAGAGGAAGCCUGAGCUAGUCUAUGAAUUAUUUACUAGGAAAUAGCCUAAGAAGGAGUGACCUUCCUCUCCUCCCAGAGCCUGGGCUGUAACCUGGCUGGCACGUGGACAUCGGAGACGCGUAGGCACCUGGCCCGACUCCUUCCCAAUGCCAACAGCUUCUCCUCUCCCCCAGCUCCAGCUUGCCAUCAUUUUUCAAAUAGCAUCAUGUUAGGAAGUAACCAGAACCAGUCUAACUCCAGAACCAAGGUCUAGGAGGGAGAAGAUGCAUCACAGCUUUCUGCUGGUUGAAGAGAUGAAUCAUUUAAGCUACUCCAUUCUCUUUACAUUUUAAAAUAAGAUGGUACCACUCCGGCCUGUAACCCUCCUGUUUUACCUGUCAGGCUCUCCAGCGUCAUUAUUAAUGGACUUCCAGGCUCCCUGUUUUGCUUCCCUUGUUACCGUUCAGAGUUCAGAAGGGUCGCUGUGGCAGCUGGGCCCCCAAAAUCAUAUGGGAGUUUGCAGAAGUUGAUAGCUGGUCUGUGAGACAAUUACAGUGAAUACCAAUGAAAUCCUCAGCACAGGUAAAACAAUUAUAAAUGCUGGUUAAAAAAAUGAAGAUGUGAACACUGAAAUAUGGUCACAAGCACAUGAGUCUACCUUCUGCUGUGCCUCCCAACCGCUGCUCUGCUCCCAGCAGAUAAGGUAGGUCUAAGUCCCUUUCUUUCUGGUAAGAGUACUGCAGAAUGAGGUUACUCUGUCAUGCCCGUGAUGAGGCAUGGAUUAUCCACUGCAGAAGCAAUGACAUGUUAUUGGCAGACACCUCACCGCUGCACUCUGCUGUGCUUUGGCCCUUUUGAUGUCAGAGCAUUUCGUUGGGAGAAGGGAAGUAGGAGGAGGUGAAAACUCCUGGCAGUGGAGCUCAGUCAGGAGAGAAUGGUCACGACAGGGAUUUGUACUUGCACAAAAGCUAUAGGAAUAGAGAGGAAUACAUCUGAGUAUGAAUCACUCUAGCUGCUACUUCAGGCCGUUUAGGAGUUGUUUUGUCAUGAUUGCUGUUCCUGAUGCUUUGUGAGAGGGCUCUGUGGCACAAGUACAGCUGAACUUGGUAGCAUCUGGUAGUGUGCAAUAAUUUGAGAUAUCCAUGCUGUGGGCAUCCAUGCUGAAGAUAGCACUGAGGUUCAGUCACCCCAGGCUCCUUAUCACCCUAAAUAGUUGAUUGCUCUCUGGCCUGCCUCAUUCAAAAGCCAGUAAUGCGCUGCAUGCAUUUGUACCAGGUAUGGUUAUCAGUUAUGAAAUCAUACCAUCCAGGAGAAAAGAAAAGAUUCCUUCGGUUUGCAGUUGGAAAAUAUCAUAGAUGAAGCUGGAGGACUUCUACUAACGAAUCACAAAUGCCAUGGCCUCAUGAAAACAAAAUGCUUAUCUAGAAUAAACACACUCUGGUGGUGGAAACCUGUUUUUAA
Molecule: long non-coding RNA, 1752 nt
Filed under: Dromaius novaehollandiae (emu)
Lineage: Eukaryota; Metazoa; Chordata; Aves; Casuariiformes; Dromaiidae
Description: lncRNA (ENSDNVG00000004475.1)
Source: RNAcentral